GAUUCCGAGCGCCUCCACUGCUGGUCCGUUGGCCAGAUCAACUCGCCGCGUGGGCCGGCCGUUCCCUGAGAGUCGGAGCGUUCGCCGCACCCCCUUCCGAGCUUCUAUUGGCCGUAGCAGACGUCCGUCUGCCGCUAUCUCCGCCCCAAUACGGAAGCGGCCUAGUCCUCCGGCUCCGACAGCUGGGUGUCCAGGCCAUGGGGCAGCACUGGGCGUCUGGGAGCACGGACGGGGCGCCCGCGCAGCUGCCUCUCGUGCUCACCGCGCUGUGGGCCGCGGCCGUGGGCCUGGAGCUGGCUUACGUGCUGGUGCUCGGUCCCGGGCCGCCGCCGCUGGGACCCCUGGCCCGGGCCUUGCAGCUGGCGCUGGCCGCCUUCCAGCUGCUCAACCUGCUGGGCAACGUGGGGCUCUUCCUGCGCUCAGAUCCCAGCAUCCGUGGCGUGAUGCUGGCCGGCCGCGGUCUGGGCCAGGGCUGGGCUUACUGCUACCAGUGCCAAAGCCAGGUGCCGCCACGCAGCGGACACUGCUCUGCCUGCCGCGUCUGCAUCCUGCGUCGGGACCACCACUGCCGCCUGCUGGGCCGCUGCGUGGGCUUCGGCAACUACCGGCCCUUCCUGUGCCUGCUGCUUCAUGCUGCCGGCGUCCUGCUCCACGUCUCUGUGCUGCUGGGCCCUGCACUGUCGGCCCUGCUGCGAGCCCACACGCCCCUCCACAUGGCUGCCCUCCUCCUGCUUCCCUGGCUCAUGUUGCUCACAGACAAUCCAUGUCCUGCCACAGCUCUGACCACCACAAAGAGGAGUCCUCAGUGUCCACGCUCAAUAUUGUGCAUGUGUCUCCAGCAGCUUAGUGAACACCCUCGCCUGCCUCCUGCUCAUCUCCACAGGGAGGUCCCAUCAACACCUCAGGCUCAACGCUGCGGAAACCAGCCUCAUGGUCCUGCCUCCGUCACUGCCUCCCUGUCCAUCAAGUCACCUAGGUCCACCCCUCACAUCUCACCGUUUGCAGGAUCACAUGACUCUUCCCCAAGCCACCUCCAGGGCCCACCCCGCCCCCACCCCACUGUCCCUCCUCUUCCAGACUGGGCACCUCGGUCCCCCAGGCUGGCUUCGCUCUUCCGUUUAUGUGUGAAGUGGCUUCUGCCAUUCAGGAGUUUCACAUUUUAUGUGCUUUUUCUCUAGUACUUUUACAAUUUAUUUUUAAUCUAUCCAGAAUUAAUUUUUGUGGCUGGUAUGAAGAAAAGGUCUGAUUUUCUUCCUUUUUUUUUUUUUUUUUUUGAGACAGAGUUUCACUCUUGUUACCCAGGCUGGAGUGCAAUGGCGCGAUCUCAGCUCACUGCAACCUCUGCCUCCCGGGUUCAAUCGAUUCUCCUGCCUCAGCCUCCCGAGUAGCUGGAAUUACAGGCACGCGCCGCCAAGCCUGGCUAAUUUUUUGUAUUUAGUAGAGACGGGGUUUCACCAUGUUGGUCAGGCUGGUCUCGAACUCCUGACCUCAGGUGAUCUGCCCACCUCGGCCUCCCAAAGUGCUGGGAUUACAGGUGUGAGCCACCGCACCUGGCCGAAAAGGUCUAAUUUUCUUUUCUAGAAGCAAGUUGUCCUGAUUGUGUGUUUUUGGACAGUCUCACAUUUCCCUGCCAAUUCAAAAUGACACCUUUCACACACUCUGACUUUCCACAUGUUCAGGGUCAGUUUCUGGACUUCCUAAUCCUGCCCCGAUCUCCAUUCUAUUUCUGCAUCCACACCACAGCUUCUGAUUCCCACAGCUUGAGUUCAUUUUGCUACCUGAUAGGGUAAGUCCCCUCAUUCUUAUUUUCCCCAAUCUUCUUAGGUUUACUCUUUGAAUCAACUGGCCAGGUCCUUAAAACAAACCCCACUGGGAUUUUAACUGCAACUUCAAGCUUUACAGCAUUAGGUCUUCCCAUCCUGCAACUUGGUAACUCUCUCCACUUAAGCAUUCUUGAAGGUGGUCUUUUCUGUUCUUGAAGAUAGUUUUACAACUUUAUUAGACUUUGUACAUUUUCUUUUUCUUUGAGACGGAGUCUGGCUCUUGUCACCCAGGCUGGAGUGCAGUGGCGUGAUCUUGGUUCACUGCAACCUUUGCCUCCUAGGUUCAAGUGAUUCUCCUGCCUAAGGAGAUUACAGGCGUGUGACACCAUGCCCAGCUAAUUUUGUAUUUUUAGUAGCAAGGGGGUUUCACCAUGUUGGCCAGGCUGGUCACGAACUCCUGACCUCAGGUGAUCUGCCUGCCUCGGCCUCCCAAAGAGCUGGGAUUAUAGGCAUGAGCCACCGAACCGGGCCUGCUUUCUUGAAUCCAGGUCAACACCCUGUGCCUCUGCCUAUAUUACCCUGCCCUGCCCUGUCUGGGGGUCUGGCUAUCAUCUUUUAGGGUGAAGCCCAAAGUCACCUCGCUCUGAAGCCUUUCCCAAGCUUCCCAGGCAGAAGUCCUUACUCCCUCUGUGUGCUCCAAAAGCUCUUUGCAGAAACCCCUUCUACACAUGAUCAUGAAGUUGGCCCCAGGUAGACUGAGUUCCUAAGGUAGGGACUAUUAUUUAUUCUUUUUUUUUUUUUUUUUUUUUUUGAGACGGAGUCUCGCUCUGUCACCCAGGCUGGAGUGCAGUGGCAUGAUCUUGGCUCACUGCAACCUCCGCCUCCUGGGUUUAAGCGAUUCUUCUGCCUCAGCCUCCCAAGUAGCUGGGACUACAGGUGCAUGCCAACACGCCUGGCUGUUUGUAUUUUUAGUAGAGACAGGGUUUCACCAUAUUGGCCAGGCUGGUCUUGAACUCCUGACCUCAUGAUCUGCCCAUCUCCGCCUCCCAAAGUGGUGGGAUUACAGGCGUGAGCCACUGCACCUGGCCCAAGGUAGGGACUAUUCUAAUUAAAGGCACCUGGCACAAGGCCUGGUGUAAUCAUAGGUACUGAAUGAAUGAAUGAACGAACGAUGAAUGAAUGAACAAAUAAAUGGGCAGGAAAAACUGGACAAGAUGACACUGGUCAAAUUCUACUUUUCUCUUUCUCUUUUUUUUUUUUUUGAGAAAGAAGUAUCAUUAUGUUACCCAGGUAGGUCUUGAACUCCUGGGCUCAUGCUGUCCUCCCACCUCUGCCAAAGUGUUGGGAUUACAGGCGUGAGCCACCAUGCCCAGUCAAAAUUCUACUUUCCUCAUGAGAAUUCCUGCGUUUGGAAGUGACUGCUCCCUUCCCUGAAUUCUAAGGGCUCUUGCUGUCACCCACAGCACCUUCCAGCCUGAGGAACAGUGAUUUGCAGGCAACGUGUACCUCCUAGGCUGUCCCUGGAUUUGCAGAGAUGGAGUCUCGCUCUGUUGUCCAGGCUGGAGUGCCGUGGUUUGAUCUUGACUCACUGCAACCUCCGCCUCCCAGGCUCAAGCGAUUCUCCUACCUCAACCUCCUGAGUAGCUGGGAUUACAGCCUUAAAGCCCACUCUCAUCUUGCAAGCCUCUGAAGCCACCAGUUUUCUGAGAUGUUCCUCCCGGCCCCGGAGACCACGGAUGUGGCUACCUUCUCAGAAUAUAGAUGUUUCCAUUGCGGCAGGCCGCGGCAAGCCGGAACUCAACAUCAAACUGGCCGGAAACCUCUAGGAAGACGGGGACGCUGGGAAGGCUCAUCUGCAAAGAAGAAGCGCAAACACUCCAAUUUCUCUGGAGCCCCCGUCCCUCCCUGCCCUGUCAGUAACUCCUCUGAGUGAGUGCCUGGUCUAAAGUCCCAAUCUCCUCACUUACACCCAGUUUAAAUUCAUACAGUUUUUCAGGAGGGAAACUUGGGGCAACAUUUAGCAAAAGCCUUUUAGUCUGUGCCUUUUGACUAAACGAUGCCACUUCUAGGACUGCAUCCUAAGGAUGUACUUAAACAACCGUGCAGCUGGGUGUGGUGGCCCACACCUAUAAUCCCAAUACUUUGAGAGGCUGAGGCGGGUGGAUCGCUUGAGCUCAGGAGUUCGAGACCAGCCUGUCCAACAUGGCAAAACUUUGUCUCUACCAAAAGUACAAAACUUAGCUGGGCGUGGUGGUCCCACAGAUGAGAAGAUGAGGUGAGAGGACUGUUUGAGCCCAGGUGGCAUAGGUUGCAGUAAGCUGAGAUUGUACUACUGCACUUCAGCCUGGGCAAGAGAGCAAGACUGUCUCAAAAACAAACAAACAAGCAUGCAAGGAUAUUUGGGUAAAAAGGUCUAUAGCAUUGGUAUUAAUAGCAAAAAAUGAAAAACAGUUUAAAUGUACAAUAGGUGGCAGGGUAAAUAAAUUAUGGUACCUCAA
Pan troglodytes (chimpanzee) is the source of this 4261-nucleotide RNA transcript. It is a transcript of the gene named zinc finger DHHC-type containing 24, with no coding region annotated. The transcript is spliced from 5 exons. The record is from RefSeq and is a predicted model, not a curated record. Lineage: Eukaryota; Metazoa; Chordata; Mammalia; Primates; Hominidae.